Molecule: ribosomal RNA, 301 nt
Filed under: uncultured bacterium
Lineage: Bacteria
Description: partial 16S ribosomal RNA
Rfam family: Bacterial small subunit ribosomal RNA
Source: RNAcentral
CAGCAGCCACGGUAAUACGAGGGGGGCAAGCGUUGUUCGGAAUUAUUGGGCGUAAAGGGCGCGUAGGCGGUUUGACAAGUCUUGUGUGAAAUCUCUGGGCUCAACCCAGAGUCUGCACGGGAAACUGUCGGGCUAGAGUAUUGGAGAGGUGAGUGGAAUUCACGGUGUAGCAGUGAAAUGCGUAGAUAUCGUGAGGAAGACCAGCGGCGAAGGCGGCUCACUGGACAAUUACUGACGCUGAUGCUCGAAGGCCAGGGGAACAAACGGGAUUAGAUACCCGAGUAGUCCCUGUCUCUUAUAC